UACGAAGGGGGCUAGCGUUGCUCGGAAUCACUGGGCGUAAAGCGCACGUAGGCGGAUUGUUAAGUCAGGGGUGAAAUCCUGGAGCUCAACUCCAGAACUGCCUUUGAUACUGGCGAUCUCGAGUCCGGGAGAGGUGAGUGGAACUGCGAGUGUAGAGGUGAAAUUCGUAGAUAUUCGCAAGAACACCAGUGGCGAAGGCGGCUUACUGGCCCGGUACUGACGCUGAGGCACGAAAGCGUGGGGAGCAAACAGG
RNAcentral lists this ribosomal RNA (253 nucleotides) under uncultured bacterium. RNAcentral describes it as "partial 16S ribosomal RNA". It matches the Rfam family "Bacterial small subunit ribosomal RNA", at positions 524 to 776 of the family's 1533-position model. The record is from RNAcentral.